This 235-nucleotide ribosomal RNA is filed under the name uncultured bacterium. RNAcentral's name for it is "partial 16S ribosomal RNA". It matches the Rfam family "Bacterial small subunit ribosomal RNA", at positions 524 to 757 of the family's 1533-position model. The record is from RNAcentral.
CACGUAGGGUGCGAGCGUGUCCGGAAUUAUUGGGCGUAAAGAGCUCGUAGGCGGUCUGUCGCGUCGGUCGUGAAAACCUGCAGCUUAACUGUGGGCUUGCGGUCGAUACGGGCAUGACUGGAGUUCGGCAGGGGAGACUGGAAUUCCUGGUGUAGCGGUGAAAUGCGCAGAUAUCAGGAGGAACACCGGUGGCGAAGGCGGGUCUCUGGGCCGAUACUGACGCUGGAGGAGCGAA